Molecule: ribosomal RNA, 253 nt
Filed under: uncultured bacterium
Lineage: Bacteria
Description: partial 16S ribosomal RNA
Rfam family: Bacterial small subunit ribosomal RNA
Source: RNAcentral
UACGGAGGGGGCAAGCGUUGUUCGGAAUUACUGGGCGUAAAGGGCGCGCAGGCGGCUGCUCAAGUCAGGCGUGAAAGGCCUGGGCUCAACCUGGGAACCGCGCUUGAGACUGGCACGCUCGAGUUCGGGAGAGGAUGGUGGAAUUCCCAGUGUAGAGGUGAAAUUCGUAGAUAUUGGGAAGAACACCGAUGGCGAAGGCAGCCAUCUGGACCGACACUGACGCUGAGGCGCGAAAGCGUGGGGAGCAAACAGG